UACGGAGGGUGCAAGCGUUAUCCGGAUUUACUGGGUUUAAAGGGUGCGUAGGCGGGCCCUUAAGUCAGUGGUGAAAGCUCCGAGCUUAACUCGGAAACUGCCAUUGAUACUAUAGGUCUUGAAUCGGUCGAGGUUGGCGGAAUGUGUCGGUGUAGCGGUGAAAUGCUUAGAUAUGACACAGAACACCGAUGCGAAGGCAGCUAGCUAGACCGACAUUGACGCUGAGGCACGAAAGCGUGGGGAUCAAACAGG
RNAcentral lists this ribosomal RNA (252 nucleotides) under uncultured bacterium. RNAcentral describes it as "partial 16S ribosomal RNA". It matches the Rfam family "Bacterial small subunit ribosomal RNA", at positions 524 to 776 of the family's 1533-position model. The record is from RNAcentral.